Non-coding RNA from Anas platyrhynchos (mallard), 47 nucleotides. Lineage: Eukaryota; Metazoa; Chordata; Aves; Anseriformes; Anatidae. The record is from Rfam.
CCAAAGGCUCUUUUAAGAGCCAAUACAUAAACCAUAAAAGGAGCUGU